RNAcentral lists this ribosomal RNA (1324 nucleotides) under metagenome. RNAcentral's name for it is "bacterial LSU rRNA". It matches the Rfam family "Bacterial large subunit ribosomal RNA", at positions 1561 to 2925 of the family's 2925-position model. The record is from RNAcentral.
AGUGGAUGGGGAGCAACCUAGUUGUGCGUGUGUAAAGGUAGUGCCAAGAAAAGCGGUGAUCAUGAUGAAAAUCAAUUCCCGGUACCCGAAACCGACACAGGUGGGCAAGUAGAGAAUACUAAGGGGCGCGAGGUAACUCUCUCCAAGGAACUCGGCAAAAUGACCCCGUAACUUAGGGAGAAGGGGUGCCACCGAGAGGUGGUCGCAGUGAAGAGGCCCAGGCGACUGUUUAGCAAAAACAUAGGUCUCUGCAAACUCGAAAGAGGAGGUAUAGGGGCUGACGCCUGCCCAGUGCCGGAAGGUUAAAGAAGUUGGUCAGUCUUAGGAUAAAGCUAGCGACUGAAGCCCCGGUGAACGGCGGCCGUAACUAUAACGGUCCUAAGGUAGCGAAAUUCCUUGUCGGGUAAGUUCCGACCCGCACGAAAGGCGUAACGAUCUGGGCGCUGUCUCGGAGAGGCUCGGCGAAAUAGGAUUGUCUGUGAAGAUACGGACUACCUGCAUUUGGACAGAAAGACCCUAUGAAGCUUUACUAUAGCUUGGAAUUGUGUUCGGGCUUCCUGUGCGCAGGAUAGGUGGGAGGCGAAGAAGGUAUUCUUGUGGGGAUACUGGAGCCAACGGUGAGAUACCACUCUCAGGAGGCUAGAAUUCUAACUCAAUUAAGGACAGUUUCAGGUGGGUAGUUUGACUGGGGCGGUCGCCUCCAAAAAGGUAACGGAGGCGUACAAAGGUUCCCUCAGACUGGUUGGAAAUCAGUCGCAGAGUGCAAAGGCAGAAGGGAGCUUGACUGCGAGAAGUACAGUUCGAGCAGGGUGGAAACACGGUCUUAGAGAUCCGACGGUGCUGUGUGGAAGGGCCGUCGCUCAACGGAUAAAAGUUACUCUAAGGAUAACAGGCUGAUCUCCCCCAAGAGUUCACAUCGACGGGGAGGUUUGGCACCUCGAUGUCGGCUCAUCGCAACCUGGGGCGGAAGUACGUCCCAAGGGUUGGGCUGUUCGCCCAUUAAAGCGGUACGUGAGCUGGGUUCAGAACGUCGUGAGACAGUUCGGUCCAUAUCCGAUGUAGGCGUGAGAAUAUUGAGAGGAGCCUUCCUUAGUACGAGAGGACCGGGAAGGACGCACCGCUGGUGUACCUGUUAUGAUGCCAAUUGUAAACGCAGGGUAGCCAAGUGCGGAGAGGAUAACCGCUGAAAGCAUCUAAGUGGGAAGCCCACCUCAAGAUGAGUAUUCUGGUGUAAGGUCACGGGAAGACGACCCGUAAAUAGGCACGAGGUGGAAGUGCAGAGAUGUAUGAAGCCGAAGUGUACUAAUAGACCGUCGGCUUGACC